RNAcentral lists this transfer RNA (74 nucleotides) under compost metagenome. RNAcentral describes it as "tRNA-Trp". It matches the Rfam family "tRNA". Rfam says of the family: Transfer RNA (tRNA) molecules are approximately 80 nucleotides in length. Their secondary structure includes four short double-helical elements and three loops (D, anti-codon, and T loops). Further hydrogen bonds mediate the characteristic L-shaped molecular structure. tRNAs have two regions of fundamental functional importance: the anti-codon, which is responsible for specific mRNA codon recognition, and the 3' end, to which the tRNAs corresponding amino acid is attached (by aminoacyl-tRNA synthetases). tRNAs cope with the degeneracy of the genetic code in two manners: having more than one tRNA (with a specific anti-codon) for a particular amino acid; and 'wobble' base-pairing, i.e. permitting non-standard base-pairing at the 3rd anti-codon position. The record is from RNAcentral.
ACCUGUCUAGUAUAAUGGUAGUGCUACUGGCUCCAACCCAGUAAGCGUGGGUUCGAUUCCUACGGCAGGUGCCA